AUUGAACGCUGGCGGCAUGCCUUACACAUGCAAGUCGAACGGCAGCACGGGUGCUUGCACCUGGUGGCGAGUGGCGAACGGGUGAGUAAUACAUCGGAACAUGUCCUGUAGUGGGGGAUAGCCCGGCGAAAGCCGGAUUAAUACCGCAUACGAUCUACGGAUGAAAGCGGGGGACCUUCGGGCCUCGCGCUAUAGGGUUGGCCGAUGGCUGAUUCGCUAGUUGGUGGGGUAAAGGCCUACCAAGGCGACGAUCAGUAGCUGGUCUGAGAGGACGACCAGCCACACUGGGACUGAGACACGGCCCAGACUCCUACGGGAGGCAGCAGUGGGGAAUUUUGGACAAUGGGCGAAAGCCUGAUCCAGCAAUGCCGCGUGUGUGAAGAAGGCCUUCGGGUUGUAAAGCACUUUUGUCCGGAAAGAAAUCCUUGGCCCUAAUACGGUCGGGGGAUGACGGUACCGGAAGAAUAAGCACCGGCUAACUACGU
This 485-nucleotide ribosomal RNA is filed under the name uncultured bacterium. Its description in RNAcentral is "partial 16S ribosomal RNA". It matches the Rfam family "Bacterial small subunit ribosomal RNA", at positions 30 to 506 of the family's 1533-position model. The record is from RNAcentral.